CAGUAGCCACGGGAAUACAGAGGAUGCAAGCGUUAUCCGGAAUGAUUGGGCGUAAAGCGUCUGUAGGUGGCUUUUCAAGUCCGCCGUCAAAUCCCAGGGCUCAACCCGGGAACUGCUUUGGAAACUGUCGAUCUGGAGUGUUGGAGAGGUAAGUGGAAUUCCUGGUGUAGCGGUGAAAUGCGUAGAGAUCAGGAAGAACACCGGAGGCGAAGGCGGCUUACUGGACAAAGACUGACGUUGAGGCUCGAAAGCGUGGGAAGCAAACAGGAUUAGAUACCCCGGUAGUCCCUGUCUCUUAUAC
RNAcentral lists this ribosomal RNA (301 nucleotides) under uncultured bacterium. RNAcentral describes it as "partial 16S ribosomal RNA". It matches the Rfam family "Bacterial small subunit ribosomal RNA", at positions 509 to 807 of the family's 1533-position model. The record is from RNAcentral.